Molecule: long non-coding RNA, 319 nt
Filed under: Nicotiana tabacum (common tobacco)
Lineage: Eukaryota; Viridiplantae; Streptophyta; Magnoliopsida; Solanales; Solanaceae
Description: long non-coding RNA (NTAB_LNC008748)
Source: RNAcentral
AAGGGUGUUAUUUCGAACUUUAUCGAAAUAGUAACCCGUCAUCGUUCGUUCGAGGUCAAACUCUUCUCUUUUUGGCGAAGGCCCUUGGCCUAAAAGUGUGUUAUUUCGAACUUAUCGAAAUAGUAACCCGUCAUCGUUCGAUCGAGGUCGAACUCUUCUCUUUUUUGCGUAGGCCCCAGGAAUUAAAGUGUAUUAUUUCGAACUUUAUCGAAAUUGUAACCCAUCGUCGUUCAAUUGAGGUCGAACUCUUCUCUUUUUGGCGAAGGCCCUAGGCCUUAAAGGGUGUUAUUUCAAACUUAUCGAAAUAGUAUCUUGUCAU